Molecule: long non-coding RNA, 952 nt
Organism: Cornus florida
Lineage: Eukaryota; Viridiplantae; Streptophyta; Magnoliopsida; Cornales; Cornaceae
Exons: 3
Source: RefSeq, a predicted model, not a curated record
ACAUUCUUACUAAUACCUCCUCCACUACUAGUAAUUAUAAGAUGAUAAAAAUUAUUUAACGUAUGUAUAUAUAUAUGUGGUGUAAAAUAAAAACAAAAGAAAAAGAAAAUAUAAAAUAAAAUGUGUGGGACCCACCAUUAAUGGUCUAUCAUCUCAAACACACUCUCUCCCUCUUGAUCCUCUCAGCAGCCAAAUUCGCUCACUCAUUACAAAUUGAAGCUUUGUUGGUCUAUCAUUGAUUAAAGCUCCAUUAAUGUCUCUAGUACACCUAAGAAAGGUGACUAAUAGGAUUACUGAUAUAAUCCAAUUGUAGUGUUAUAUGUGUUUCUAUAUAUGUAAAUCUAUAUAUGUGUGUGUGUGUGUUUGAUUAUUGGCGUGUAUACAGUGUCACAUAUACACUACAAGACUGAUGGUGGUUGAUUUAUCGUGCCAUUUGAGUGUUGGAAUCCCUAAUCACAUCCGCUCAUUUUCCAUGACAUCUUCUCUGGCAACCUCUCCUAAUAUUUCUGAGAAAUUAAUGGUUAUGUGAAGGCUUGGGAUGAAAAGAAGGUCGAGUUGGGAACCCCAUCACAAAAAUGUUUCCUUCCCUUCCUCGUCGGCAUGCCAAACUGGUUCAAAAUCGAUUAUCAUCUUCUUUUGGGAUAGCUGGGUGUGCUUCUUAAGGUAUUAGAAUAUGAUGACAGACACUACAAUAAGGAUAUCAAGAUAAGAAAAACACAAGUAGUGUAAUACUGACCAAUUGGGUUGCCUAGAAAAGUGAGCAAUUGCCUUAAUAUUUUGAUUUUUGUGGGCAAUUGUGUGUGUGUGUGUGUGUCAACAAUGAUGGAAUUGUACAUUGAAAACCUUAAUGAAUAUAAGACUUAUUAAAAUUUAUUUGUUUGUGAUUGGUGGGAUUUGCCCUUUUUUAUUUUUUGUAUGGCUUGGGCUAUUUUUUUGCAUGCAUCAAAUAUGU